UCCGUAGGUGAACCUGCGGAGGGAUCAUUACCGAGUUUACAACUCCCAAACCCAAUGUGAACGUUACCAAACUGUCCUUCCGUAGGUGAACCUGCGGAAGGAUCAUUA
This 108-nucleotide ribosomal RNA is filed under the name Lasiodiplodia gonubiensis. RNAcentral describes it as "partial 18S ribosomal RNA". Lineage: Eukaryota; Fungi; Ascomycota; Dothideomycetes; Botryosphaeriales; Botryosphaeriaceae. The record is from RNAcentral.